GUUCAAAUGAGAGGACCAGUUGCACGUCCCUCACUUUACGUCAAAAGCCGGACCUGAUCAAGCUCGGUGAGGAAGGAUGUCAUGAUUUGAGGCGGGAGCAAGGCCUCUUGUGCCACAGUCAGCCAAGUUGUGAAUGUGAGGAAAUGUUCUGGAAGGAGCUGAAAGGUGAGCGGUGAGCACAAUGGCGACGGGCAGAGAUACAGAACAAGUCAACAGGUGAACAGAAAACAGUCCGGGAUGGGGACACCAUUAUUUUCCUUGGUCGUGUUUUGGAAUGUCAGAGUGAUAUUCAAAUAACCUUAUUUGUCCUCAUACCUUAAGGUGAUGUAGAUGUAGGUAGAGGUUUUAGGACCUUGCAGAGAUGGACAGAUUAGGGGCAGGAGGUCAACAGUGACCUGGAGCCAUUUCAACAAGUCACCUCUGCUGGCUGUCUGGGCUUUGAUGUAGAAAUGAUGACCGAGGGUUUCUUGCAGCUCUCCACCCAGCCAGCUUCGAACACCACUGCUUUGUCCCCUGUUUCCUUGAUCCUGAGUCCCCACAGGAUGUGGUGCACUGCAGUGGUCACCGGUUGACGGCUCUGGCUAAAGGUAGGGACCCUGCACUUAUCCACCCGGGGGUGGGGGCUGGGGUUCCUCCCUCCCCCUUUCUCCUGCAGAUUCUCAGAUAAACAGUGAGCAAGCCAAAGGUGGCUUAACUUCCAGCAAGAAAAAGUGACUCUCUUGACUUGUACUGGACUGGCCAUCUGUGUGUCUGUCCUAGGUGGACCUGGAGCAGACGGAAGCUGACAACGUGCCUUAACAAUUCAACCUCUAGGACCUGACCUGUCCUCCAUCUAAUGGCAAUGGCGUGACUUAUGGUAGAACGGGAGUACAUUGCUGUUCAAUUACCAAAUAGAGCAAUUAACCAACCGGGAUUGCUCAGUGUUCAGGAGUGACACAGUCACCCACUGCGGCACCUCAUUUCUGGAUGUGACAGUGACCACUUCAAUCAGAUGCUUGCCUUUACUCCCCCUGGACCUUCUAGACAGCACUCGUUACCAAAUGACAAACAAUUCAAAUGCAGCCUUCAGCCCAGCCCUGUCCCGCUCACGGGAGACGUGAUUGCUAACCACAACUGGGACAUCCUGCAGUGUUGCCCCCUGGCCGGGUGGUCUCAGGUGCAGGGCCUGAAGAUGCUCUUCAACCUUGAGUGUUGACUCAGGGUUCUCCUGCAUGUGUGCAGACACCACAGAGGGAGCGAAGUCACAGGCAGGAAUCCCUGGGGCCUGGCAGGGAUGGAGCCUGCAAGAGCACGGCCCAGACCAGGUCGCUGCCUUCCAGUGAAAGAAGGCAGGCACAACCUCAGGCCAUAAAAGCAGACAGAGGAGGCCAUCAGUGACAAAUUGGGGAUGGAGUGCUGACGGUUCAAGGAGCAUUUAAAGAAAGUCACUAGACAGGAAAACUCCACAUGUCAGAAGAUCCCGCUUCUUCUGCAUGAAAACACAAAACAGAACGUCAC
RNAcentral lists this long non-coding RNA (1497 nucleotides) under Castor canadensis (American beaver). RNAcentral's name for it is "lncRNA (ENSCCNG00000006943.1)". Lineage: Eukaryota; Metazoa; Chordata; Mammalia; Rodentia; Castoridae. The record is from RNAcentral.